Molecule: ribosomal RNA, 411 nt
Filed under: Verrucomicrobiota bacterium
Lineage: Bacteria; Pseudomonadati; Verrucomicrobiota
Description: Verrucomicrobia bacterium partial 16S ribosomal RNA
Rfam family: Bacterial small subunit ribosomal RNA
Source: RNAcentral
UGGGGAAUAUUGCACAAUGGACGGAAGUCUGAUGCAGCGACGCCGCGUGGGGGAUGAAGGCUUUCGGGUUGUAAACUCCUUUCAGUACAGAAGAAGCUUUAUUGUGACGGUAUGUGCAGAAGAAGCGCCGGCUAACUACGUGCCAGCAGCCGCGGUAAUACGUAGGGCGCGAGCGUUGUCCGGAAUUAUUGGGCGUAAAGAGCUCGUAGGCGGUUUGUCGCGUCUGCUGUGAAAGACCGGGGCUUAACUCCGGGGCUGCAGUGGGUACGGGCAGGCUGGAGUGCGGUAGGGGUAACAGGAAUUCCUGGUGUAGCGGUGGAAUGCGCAGAUAUCAGGAGGAACACCGAUGGCGAAGGCAGGUUACUGGGCCGUUACUGACGCUGAGGAGCGAAAGCAUGGGGAGCGAACAGG